GCGCAAGACCCUUUAACACCGGUCCGUGGCUGGCACCGGUGCUAAAGGUGAAAGCCCUAGUUUGGUUUUGGAUAAUUGAUGAAACCUUAGUACUAACCUCUAUGCUAAGUAUGUGUAGACUUAAUGAGGAUGGUACAUGCCAAGUGAAGGAGCAAGUGAUGAUCAUGGUGAUGAUGGUGAUGACCAAAAGGUGAUCAAGUGCUCAACUUGGAAAAGAAAAAAGAGAAAAACAAAACCCUAU
RNAcentral lists this long non-coding RNA (241 nucleotides) under Sorghum bicolor (sorghum). Its description in RNAcentral is "long non-coding RNA (SBIC_LNC013752)". Lineage: Eukaryota; Viridiplantae; Streptophyta; Magnoliopsida; Poales; Poaceae. The record is from RNAcentral.